GAUACUUCUAGAGAAUGGUGACCUGGAAAUGGUAAGGCUAGCUGCACGAUACUCCUAGAGAAUGGUGACCUGGAAAUGGUAAGGCUAGCUGCACGAUACUCCUAGAGAAUGGUGACCUUGAAAUGGUAAGACUAGAAACAUAAUACUCCUAGAGAAUGGUGACUUCGAAAUGGUAAGACUAGCUGCACGAUACUCCUAGAGAAUGGUGACCUCGAAAUGGUAUUCUCAACCGAUCCAGGGAAUUUUAGGAAAUUGGAUGACUUUGUCAGAACAGAGACUAAAGGAAAAGGUCAGCUGGAAGUAAUCAGUUUAAAGGAGAUGCAGGAAGGAGAUGAACUGCUUGAGUAAUCUAACUUUCACAAUGUACAAAUUGGCCUCAAAGAUUAUUUGUAAAAUAAAUAUAUUUGUUGGAAAAACUAUAAUCUAUAGUCGCUAUCACAAAUAGGAAAUUUGAUGUGUUAUUCAGAUUAUCUUGUAUUGUUCUAUUCUGAAGUGUCAUCAAAAUAUUGCUUUUUUUUUGUUUAAUGAUUGAUAAUUUUAUUUCAAUAAUUAAAAUCUAUUAAUCAGCCAAGAAAUCUGAAUUAUGGCGUAUAAGUUUAUAAACCUAUUCAAUGACCAUUAAAGUAAAUUAAAUACAGUAUUAUUUAAUUAGUCAGAUUCUUGCAAAUAUAAGUUUAUAGUGAGCUAAAAUAUUUCCAAUUAAAGAUGUAGUGAACUAACACUAAACCUACAAAAAAAAAAAA
This is a long non-coding RNA of Limulus polyphemus (Atlantic horseshoe crab), 743 nucleotides long. RefSeq lists it as uncharacterized. NCBI's taxonomy places the organism in Eukaryota, Metazoa, Arthropoda, Merostomata, Xiphosura, Limulidae. The record is from RefSeq and is a predicted model, not a curated record. The transcript is spliced from 2 exons.